Long non-coding RNA from Notolabrus celidotus (New Zealand spotty), 462 nucleotides. RefSeq lists it as uncharacterized. The transcript has 4 exons. The record is from RefSeq and is a predicted model, not a curated record. Lineage: Eukaryota; Metazoa; Chordata; Actinopteri; Labriformes; Labridae.
UGGUGUCUUAGUUCAUUGAGCAUCUUCCAGCUCUUCAGUUUCUCUCAUUGGAUUUUAGCAGAAAAGGCACCGCGUCGAGCCUGAAGUUGGCAUGAGUGUGUGGAAAAAGCUGAACUGAAGGAGGAUCCAGGAUUAGCCUCUUUGGGUGCGAGGCAGAUGCUGAAAAAGAGCCGUGACCCAAACCUUACGGAGCAGGUGGAAGAUUGUGAUGUCCUCACAAGAUGGAAGCUCGGCCCAACAGGACCGGCUCCUGCAGGAUGAGGUGUUGUGGUCUCAGACGUCAUCGGGCUGUUGUGAACUUAGACUUCCUCCUCUCACCCAGAUCACAGCUGUAGGCAGACUGAGCCACGAUGGAAGCUUCACUUUACUCCUUCACCCACUCACUCACACACACGGCUGCAACGUGCAGACUCACAGCAGCAGAGAGGGAGAGAGUGUGAGUGAAAGGUCUUGCAGAAAAUC